This 829-nucleotide ribosomal RNA is filed under the name uncultured bacterium. RNAcentral describes it as "bacterial SSU rRNA". It matches the Rfam family "Bacterial small subunit ribosomal RNA", at positions 33 to 844 of the family's 1533-position model. The record is from RNAcentral.
ACGCUGGCGGCGUGCCUAACACAUGCAAGUCGGAUGUGCCCCGUCUUCGGAUUGGGGUGCAUGGCAGACGGGUGAGUAACGCGUGGGGAAUCUACCUCUUUGUGGGGAAUAACGCUCCGAAAGGAGUGGUAAUACCGCAUGAGACCAGUGGCUGGGAUGCUGCUGGUGAAACCUGGGGACCGUAAGGCCUGGGGCAAGGAGAGGAUCCUGCGUCUGAUUAGCUAGUUGGCGGGGUAAUGGCCCACCAAGGCGACGAUCAGUAGCCGGCCUGAGAGGGUGAUCGGCCACACUGGAACUGAGACACGGUCCAGACUCCUACGGGAGGCAGCAGUGGGGAAUUUUGCGCAAUGGACGAAAGUCUGACGCAGCAACGCCGCGUGGGUGAUGAAGGUCUUCGGACUGUAAAACCCUGUCGUCAGGGACGAAGGUGCGCACGUUAAUAGCGUGUGUAUUUGACGGUACCUGGAGAGGAAGCCCCGGCUAACUCUGUGCCAGCAGCCGCGGUAAUACAGAGGGGGCAAGCGUUAUUCGGAAUUAUUGGGCGUAAAGGGCGCGUAGGCGGUUUUUUAAGUCAGAUGUGUAAUCCCCGAGCUUAACUUGGGAACUGCAUCUGAGACUGGAAGGCUAGAGUACUGGAGAGGGUGGUGGAAUUCCUCGUGUAGCGGUGAAAUGCGUAGAGAUGAGGAGGAACACCAGUGGCGAAGGCGGUCACCUGGACAGUAACUGACGCUGAGGCGCGAAAGUGUGGGUAGCAAACAGGAUUAGAUACCCUGGUAGUCCACGCUGUAAACGAUGAACACUUGGUGUGGAGGGAGUUGACCCCUUCCGU